This 254-nucleotide ribosomal RNA is filed under the name uncultured bacterium. RNAcentral describes it as "partial 16S ribosomal RNA". It matches the Rfam family "Bacterial small subunit ribosomal RNA", at positions 524 to 776 of the family's 1533-position model. The record is from RNAcentral.
CACGUAGGGUGCGAGCGUUGUCCGGAAUUAUUGGGCGUAAAGAGCUCGUAGGCGGUGUGUCGCGUCGGCCGUGAAAACCUGCAGCUUAACUGUGGGCUUGCGGUCGAUACGGGCAUCACUGGAGUUCGGCAGGGGAGACUGGAAUUCCUGGUGCAGCGGUGAAAUGCGCGGAUAUCAGGAGGAACACCGGUGGCGAAGGCGGGUCUCUGGGCCGAAACUGACGCUGAGGAGCGAAAGCGUGGGGAGCAAACAGG